Molecule: unclassified non-coding RNA, 275 nt
Filed under: uncultured fungus
Lineage: Eukaryota; Fungi
Also listed under: 1 other name
Description: partial contains 5.8S ribosomal RNA, internal transcribed spacer 2, and large subunit ribosomal RNA
Rfam family: 5.8S ribosomal RNA (bases 1-52)
Source: RNAcentral
AACGCACCUUGCGCUCCUUGGUAUUCCGAGGAGCAUGCCUGUUUGAGUGUCAUUAAUAUAUCAACCUUCUCUUUUUUGAGUUGUUUGGAUGUGGGGGUUUGCUGGACUCUUUAAUGAAUUCAGCUCCCCUGAAAUGCAUUAGCAGAACAACCUGUUCAUUGGCGUGAUAAUUAUCUAUGCUAUUGAAUGUGAGGGCAGUUCAGCUUUCUAACCGUCCUCGGACAAUUUAUCAUUAAUGUGACCUCAAAUCAGGUAGGACUACCCGCUGAACUUAA